This is a long non-coding RNA of Lagopus leucura (white-tailed ptarmigan), 3473 nucleotides long. RefSeq lists it as uncharacterized. The transcript is spliced from 11 exons. The record is from RefSeq and is a predicted model, not a curated record. Lineage: Eukaryota; Metazoa; Chordata; Aves; Galliformes; Phasianidae.
GCUUUUUCUUGGGGCCCAGAGGGUUCUGAAGGUGCUGCAACCCCCUGUGCUCAGAGCGACAGGGGAACUAGUACAUCAUCACCUGAAGUGAUGACUGAGGACAUUAAAGAAGAUGUGGCCAGCAGGAAGAGAGAGGUGAUUGUCUCCCUCUGCUCAGCUCUCAUGAGUGCCCAUCUGGAGUACUGCAUCCAGCACAAGAUAGGCACAGAGCUCAUGGAACAUGUCUGGAGGAGGACCACCUCUCUUGUAAAGAAAGGUUGUGGGAACUGAGAAGGCCAUUCAAUGAUUCUGUGAUGAGGGGAGCGGCUGGCCCAGGAAGCACAGGUGAAAGUAAUUCACCUGCGCUUCCCACGUGACUCAGGGUCUGCCCCUUCCUGAGCUCAUUUAAGGGCUAGCCUCUGCAGGGAGAACAUCUCCUGGAUGAAGGCUGCUUUCUGAGAAGGGAUGUUCUAUAGCUGGAGACCCUCAUUACUUCUCAGGGUCAGGGCUGUAUGAGAGUCACUUUUAAGCCUGGACCUGUGAGGAGUUCCACUGUUGGGCUGUGUCUGAGCAUGUUCUAAGCCUGGACCUGUGAGGAGUUCCACUGUUGGGUGGAUGCUGCUUUGGAUCAGCUCAGCCUGUGAGCAGUCCUGGUAGUCCCAUUGCUACUAGGACUGCUUGUGGAUCCCAGAAUUGUGAAGGUGUUUUUGCUGCAGGUCUGGGACUUCUGUGGUGAGUAGUUCUUUUCCAGGGGUUCCUGUCCUGAAGGUUUUUUUUUUUUUUCUCUUUAGGUUUUUGUGCAGCUCUUAAAUGGGAAGAAGAGAGUUAUGUGCCCUUCUGUGAUGGAUCUCUUUAUUUUUGAAUUAAAAGAAGCUAUGGGAAGCUUGACUGGAAGCCCCAUUUAGAAGGAAGGAAGAGCUGUCUCACUUGCUGCUAAUUUUGCUAUGAGGGUCAAGCAGUUUUGAUUACAGCAGCGCUUGUGGCGUAUCCCAACUAGGAAACUAAUACUGAAGAACAGAGCUUGGUGUCAUCAGUGCCUAACUUGCAGCUGAAACUUUUCUGGAGUCUUGUUAAGAACAGUGCCAGCUGAUGAAUGGAGGCUUAAUGAUUACAAAAUCGUGGUCUGCUCUUCCUAAGGAAAUUUCAGAAACCUACUUGAUGGUGGGAGAAUUCCACAGCUGAAAGAACUAUGGGUUGUUAACCAAUGACUUGGGCUGAACCAUCUCAGUGGGCAGACUCUCGAAACCCCUGUCUCUAAUUACUCCAGAAAAUAAACUCAGUCUGGAUGAAUGCCAAACCGCAUUCCUGAGGGGUGAGAAAGGCCCCACAUCUGCUUCUGGUAUAACUGUUUGUAUCUUCACUCCAGGAAAAUUAGGUUUGAAAUAAUCUCAAAUUGUCUGACACCUGUAUCCUAUUAGAAGUGACACAUGGAAACACCUUCAGCAUACUGAAUUUAGCACCAUGUCAACAGCUUAAAGUUCACGGGAAAAAAUGGCAAAAAUCAUUGCUUCCCACUUUUGGUUGAAACAGACCCGGUGUCUUUUCACAGGAUGAUACUGCAAGCUUGGUCCAUAACUGCAGUGGGCUUUGAGCCCAUAAUUACAACAUAGUCUGUGCCCCAGCCAUGGCUGGAAUUAAAUCCCGUGAGCACCUUGUGGUGACUGGAGUCAUGCAAUAGACCAAGGCUUGUUGAGACACACCUAAGGGCUGAGUGCCAGCCAGCAGCCAGCACGUGGACACACAGAAGCUUCAGGGGCAAAGCAAUGCUAUAAUGUGGUGCAAAGUACAACAAAAAUAGCAGGUAGGCAAAGUAAGCCUUUGGCUGCAGCAAACAAGGAUGAGCCCAAAUGCAGCAGCCACAGAUACUGUAGAUACAAAAAGGAAAAAAGGAAGGAAAGCUGCUUACCUUUAGAAGGCCUCAAGCACACAAGGAUCUCCAACAAGAUCCUCUCGCCUCCGCUGCCAGCCCUUAAAUGAGAUCCAGGAAGGGGUGUAUCCUGGCUCCACCCCUUCCACUCACUCCGGUUCAUUGCAUGCACCUGAGCUCCCCUAGGUUGGCCCUCCCUUCCUACCAGGUGCUCAAUCAGGCUGUGAUUUAGCAAAUCUGUUACAGAGAGCUUCUCUGAAGUUUGGCUGUGAAUCUUGAUUUUCGCAACUCACAGCUUCUUUUUAUGGUGAACAGACAAUAUAUCACUUGUCUCAAGCAGAGGAGUCAGAUUGGCGCUACAAAAGAUAAAUUCUGCCACGGCAUAAAGGUUUGGUCAUGUUCAGACACAGAGAAGAACCAAAUGACUUCAGAAGCUGUGCAUCUAGUUUUGCUAUGAUGGCCUGCGCCUCCCUCAGCGCAGACUGCGACACACUUGUAGUGCUUUACUUGAAGCUCCGUGUGGAGCCUCCCAUUUGCAAAUUCCUCUAUUAGGAUAAAUCUGAUGACCUCUCUGCCGGAUAACUCACUGAUAAGAAAACACUAGUUCUGCUGAGUUAGGAGAAAGUGCUUGCUUUCUUUUCAGAUAGCACUGUUUUGCAGCAGUUCCGCUGAAAAAUCACGAGUACUCCCCAGAGUCAAGAAAACCAGAAAAAUGCUGUUCUUGAUCAUUUUUCCCUCACAUUCCGGCCCUUCGCUGACACCGUCUACAGAAGAAAGCUGUGAAUUUGCCUGAUUUGUUGACUAACAGUGUUGCAUUUCUCAAGCCUGGCAGCUGCUCAGGAAACAACAAUGAUGAGCCAGGGUCUUGAUAGCAGUCACUUCAGUCCUCAGAAGACUCAUGACAAAGCAGAAGAAGAGAAAUACUAUCUUCACCAUGUCUGAACCUUUCUUUGUUUUUGGCUCAAAGUUAGCUUUCUGAGGCAUUUCUUGCAAUAACGCUCUGACUUACCUAGGAGAUGAGAGGGAGGUGUUGGCGUAUGACAAUCAACAUCAUUUUGUGGACAAUUUCACAUUUGAAAGCAUUUCUUUGGAGCUGAUUGCCUUGGGAAUACUGUGCUCAGGAAUGUUUACUGGCAGAAAAUCUGGCCUGUGACCAAAUAACUCCAGCUUGGUAUGGGAGAUUGGAGAAUGAUAGCAUCGUAUCCUGUGAAAAACAGGAUGCAGGUGGGCACCUCCCUGCUCCCUCUUAUCUGAUGGCAAGGCCCAGAAGAUGGGAACAGAGGAGUUUCUGCUGAGAUCCCAAAGCCAGAAGCUGCCAGUCCAAAGAGAGAGGACUUGACCGCUUUGUAUUUGAGCUGUUACUCCAAAGGGAGCUGACUCGACCACUUUGGACUUAUUUAUAAGUUUGUACAGUCGCCGUCGUUAUUGUCAGCCAAACAACAACUCCCAUUGCUACUGAAGAUCAACGUCUGAACUAUGAGCAAUGCUGGAAUAUGUGAUGGUGACUAUCUCCCUCUUGCUUCGUACAAGAACUCCCUGCUUUUAUUUCCUAUCGCUUUUCUAUCGUCCGCCUUCCAUUCCCCAUCCCCUUAAGCAACUUGGAUUUGUAAUAAACUGGUCGGGCUAA